CCCGAAGAAGACAUGAAUUCAGAUAACUCGUUGCUCGAAAUCGCGUUUUGCCGACACGAAUUUUAUUUUGUCCUAAAACAGGGGAUCGUGCGCUAGCGACGGCCUUUCGGCAUAGUAGAGAGAUGAGACUCCAGCCCUUGAGACAAACUUGGGUUGGGGGCUUGGCCGUCGAGUCAAGGGCGGAUUCCAUAUAGCCCGUGGGAUUGUAGACUUGUAGGGUGUACCAUCUAACUCAGAAGUAAAACAAAGGGUUGAGUCAUGACUUACAAGAAUGUUUUGAAGCUCUUGAAUUAUCCCCAUGUGUUUUUGAUAUCUAUUAUGUUAAAUUAUUUUCUUAAUGCUCUAGACUAUUUAAUAUAGAAUACAUGUUUUUGGUUAGUUCUACAUACCAAUAUAUUUCAGGUAUUGACUGUCCUUCGUAGCAGCUGCAUUGUCUCAUAAUGUAGAUUCUGAGGCGCAAUACCAUGGUCCAUCACAUCAGUAGAACACUUGGAUAUGAUAGAGUUGGUGAGCCAUUCAUCUUUUGGAGGGCAUUUAUUCAUAUGUUGACUUCUUUAAGUUUAAGGUCCAGUCGGGGGCCUUGUCCCGGCCUAAACAGUUAGUAUUCAGUAGAGGUUUCGUAGAUGAGAUUUGGAUUUUUAUAUUGCCACAACUUUGUUGACACAGUUUGAUUAUAAGUUUCCUUUGAAUUUCAUUAUAUCUUCCGCACCUUGAUUUAUGUAUGAAUGAUGCUUAUGGUAGUAUGCUAAGGGGUCUCUCAGGCCUUUGUGGUUCGGGAUGCCCGUCGUAGCCUGGGCGUUGGCUAGGAUCGGGACAAACAGUUUACCAGAAAAUACUUACAUACUUUUGAUCAGAAAUAGGUUGCAUAAAACUAUUAAACUAGCACUAUAUUUGAAGUUUUGAAAAGCCACAAAUAUGAAAGAUGCAUAUUCUCAAUCUAGUGGAUGGAGAGAUGGUGAUCGUGAUAAAAGCAAACUUGAAUCAUAUACUUAUAGGGGCAAAAUAGAAUCACAUAGUACAUCAUAUUGGGGCAAAAUUAAAUCAUAUACAUUGUAUUGAGACAAAAUAGAAUCAUACAUAAAGGUUUUUGCGUUUGCUCGUAGUAAUUCAAGAGAUUGAAAAAUAGGAUGCUCAUUCGUCAAAUAUAAAGACAAUUUAGAAAUAAGAUAAGGUGCAUAUAUGCUAAAGGCUCCCUUGAUUACUCACACAUGCAACAUCUGACCAGUGAUUAGAGUAUAAACGUAGUUUAUUAAACAUGUUUGAUGCAUAAUCAUCCUUACAAAGAAUAACGAAAAAUGGUUAAAUAUAUUUCUCUACUUUCAUUGAUCGAUUAGCUUUCUCUUUCAUUAUAUAUUACUUCAUCUGUCCCAUUUUACUCGUCCCAAAUUUUUUAAUUUAAUUUCUUAUUUUACUUGUCAUUUUUUAUUACAAGACAAUUUUUUUUUUCUUUUUUACCCUUAGGGUGUGUUUGGUAUGAAAGAAAAAUGUUUUUCAUGGAAAAUGUUUUCUUGGAAAACAAGUUGAUUUCUUACUAGUUUUCCUAUGUUUGGUUGGUGGACGGAAAAUAUUUUCAGAAAAUAUUUUAUAGUGUUUGGUUGGUGAAUGAAAAAUUAUUUUUUCAAAAAUACAUACUAGUGUAUAGCUAAAGCGUAAAAAUACAUUUUAGAAAAAUAAUUUUUGUGUGUCUGACUGUCAGAAAGUGACGACUAAGUUGACGAGUUGUCAACUAGGUGACGACUAAGUUGACGAGCCUUCAACCCUAGUCAUCAACCUUAACCGAAAAAGAGCAACAUCCAUCUAUAAUUGACGACUAGAGUGACGAGACAUCACCAAGUUGAUGACUUGUCAACCAGUCGUCAGUUGAAGAAAUUCCUGCAUUUUUGUUGGUUUCUUUAGGGAUUUUGGUCUUUUCCUCACCUCAAACCCCAAAUCCACGACUUAAAAACACUCUUUAAAUGUAAAUUGCCCAUUAUAUGUCAGUUUCUCAUCGUUCAUUCUCCUCUCCACUCUCAAGAGAGAAAAAUUAGGGUUUCUUUCAAAAACACAUGCUCCCAAGGUUUAGAUUCAAGAUAUCUCGAAUUUUGUUCAUCAAAAAGGUAUGUGGAACUAUACUAAAUCUUAUGGGCGUAAAUUUUACAUUUUUACAUAAGUUUUAAAGAUAUAUAUAUGUAUGUAUAUGAAAUGGAUUUUUGAAAAUCGUUUAAAGAGCAUGCAUCAUAAACCCGUUUUGAUGAAAGUUACGUAAUUAUCAUGGGUUUUUUCCAUAAGCUUGAUUUAUAACCUUGUGCAUACAUGAUUUGAGUUUGAAAAGUGAUGUAUGAAUAUGACUUGCAAAAUUUCCCUUCCCCAUGAUAAAAUUUAUGGUCUUAGCAUGUUAUGAAUUGUAAAUUUGGUUUGAGAGCAUAAAUUAUAAGUCCUUUUUUGAUCAUGAGAUUUACGUAUAAUAAAUGUUGGGGUUGUUUUACGAAUGAAGAUGAUUCUUAAGUUUAAAUGCCUCUUUACUUGUUAUGGAUGGUUGUUUCACGUGUUUUUCAAAGAGGUGAUUUUUAUUUCAAAUGCUAUAGUUUCCUAAUGAAGAAAUUGCAUGUGAUUAAUGAUUAAAUUGCCUACCGCAUAUGUAAGUCUUGAAAAGAGAGUGUGUUUGCAUAAGUUUGCACAUGCUUUUGAAAUAAGAACUCUCUUGUAAUGUUUAAAUUCUUUGGGUGGUCAUUAAUAUGCUUUUAAGUAAGGGGGGCUAUGGAUAUAAUGUGGUAUGAAAUAAAUGACUUGCAAGUCUGGGUAUGACGAAACCUUGUUGUGAUAUACCCUUAACAGAAUACGAAAAGAAUUAUUUAUAAUCAAGAAGUAUAUUUUUAAGAGGUUAAAAUUAUGGUUAAACAUAGUUAGAUGGUUCCCCGAAGAAGACAUGAAUUCAGAUAACUCGUUGCUCGAAAUCGCGUUUUGCCGACACGAAUUUUAUUUUGUCCUAAAACAGGGGAUCGUGCGCUAGCGACGGCCUUUCGGCAUAGUAGAGAGAUGAGACUCCAGCCCUUGAGACAAACUUGGGUUGGGGGCUUGGCCGUCGAGUCAAGGGCGGAUUCCAUAUAGCCCGUGGGAUUGUAGACUUGUAGGGUGUACCAUCUAACUCAGAAGUAAAACAAAGGGUUGAGUCAUGACUUACAAGAAUGUUUUGAAGCUCUUGAAUUAUCCCCAUGUGUUUUUGAUAUCUAUUAUGUUAAAUUAUUUUCUUAAUGCUCUAGACUAUUUAAUAUAGAAUACAUGUUUUUGGUUAGUUCUACAUACCAAUAUAUUUCAGGUAUUGACUGUCCUUCGUAGCAGCUGCAUUGUCUCAUAAUGUAGAUUCUGAGGCGCAAUACCAUGGUCCAUCACAUCAGUAGAACACUUGGAUAUGAUAGAGUUGGUGAGCCAUUCAUCUUUUGGAGGGCAUUUAUUCAUAUGUUGGCUUCUUUAAGUUUAAGGUCCAGUCGGGGGCCUUGUCCCGGCCUAAACAGUUAGUAUUCAGUAGAGGUUUCGUAGAUGAGAUUUGGAUUUUUAUAUUGCCACAACUUUGUUGACACAGUUUGAUUAUAAGUUUCCUUUGAAUUUCAUUAUAUCUUCCGCACCUUGAUUUAUGUAUGAAUGAUGCUUAUGGUAGUAUGCUAAGGGGUCUCUCAGGCCUUUGUGGUUCGGGAUGCCCGUCGUAGCCUGGGCGUUGGCUAGGAUCGGGACAAACAGUUUACCAGAAAAUACUUACAUACUUUUGAUCAGAAAUAGGUUGCAUAAAACUAUUAAACUAGCACUAUAUUUGAAGUUUUGAAAAGCCACAAAUAUGAAAGAUGCAUAUUCUCAAUCUAGUGGAUGGAGAGAUG
Molecule: long non-coding RNA, 3848 nt
Filed under: Capsicum annuum
Lineage: Eukaryota; Viridiplantae; Streptophyta; Magnoliopsida; Solanales; Solanaceae
Description: long non-coding RNA (CANN_LNC020575)
Source: RNAcentral